RNAcentral lists this ribosomal RNA (254 nucleotides) under uncultured bacterium. Its description in RNAcentral is "partial 16S ribosomal RNA". It matches the Rfam family "Bacterial small subunit ribosomal RNA", at positions 524 to 776 of the family's 1533-position model. The record is from RNAcentral.
UACGAAGGGGGCUGGCGUUGUUCGGAUUUACUGGGCGUAAAGCGCGCGCAGGCGGCUUUGCAAGUCAGGGGUGAAAUCCCAGCGCUCAACUCUGGAAUUGCCUUUGAGACUGUGAGGCUUCGAGUACGGGAGAGGUGAGUGGAAUUCCCAGUGUAGAGGUGAAAUGCGUAGAUAUGGGGAAGAACACCGGUGGCGAAGGCGGCUCACUGGCCCGGUACUGACGCUCAGGCGCGACAGCGUGGGGAUCAAACAGG